RNAcentral lists this transfer RNA (76 nucleotides) under compost metagenome. RNAcentral's name for it is "tRNA-Met". It matches the Rfam family "tRNA". From Rfam's summary of the family: Transfer RNA (tRNA) molecules are approximately 80 nucleotides in length. Their secondary structure includes four short double-helical elements and three loops (D, anti-codon, and T loops). Further hydrogen bonds mediate the characteristic L-shaped molecular structure. tRNAs have two regions of fundamental functional importance: the anti-codon, which is responsible for specific mRNA codon recognition, and the 3' end, to which the tRNAs corresponding amino acid is attached (by aminoacyl-tRNA synthetases). tRNAs cope with the degeneracy of the genetic code in two manners: having more than one tRNA (with a specific anti-codon) for a particular amino acid; and 'wobble' base-pairing, i.e. permitting non-standard base-pairing at the 3rd anti-codon position. The record is from RNAcentral.
GGGCCUAUAGCUCAGUCGGUAGAGCGGAUGACUCAUAAUCGUCUGGUCGGGGGUUCGAUCCCCUCUGGGCCCACCA